Phoenix dactylifera (date palm) is the source of this 1352-nucleotide RNA transcript. It is a transcript of the gene named DHHC-type zinc finger family protein, with no coding region annotated. NCBI's taxonomy places the organism in Eukaryota, Viridiplantae, Streptophyta, Magnoliopsida, Arecales, Arecaceae. The record is from RefSeq and is a predicted model, not a curated record.
GCCUCGUCCAAAUUCCAAUUAAUAAAAGAUAAAAAAAAUUUUCUCACGAAUCCUCGCAAAAUUCCCAAAUCCCCUAUUCCGACCCCCGCCCCGCCUCGUCUCCCGUCUCUUCUACCGAGGAUCUCCGAUUUCGACCGGAGAUGGGGGACAAGAAGGGCCGAUUUCUGUCCCUUCCCGUUCUCUUGGUGAUCUCGCUGAUGGGGUUCGUUUACUACACGACGGUCUUUGUCUUCAUCGAGGACUGGUUGGGCCUCAGCACAUCUCUAGGGUUCCUUAAUUAUCUAAUCUUUAGUUGGGUCGCUUUCAUGAGCUUGCUGUCGUUCUUCGUCGCCGUCAUCAAAGAUCCCGGCGGCGUUCCCACUUAUUUUGCCCUAGACUGGGAAAAUCCCCCCAAACAUCAGGGUGUAACCUCAAGAUAUUGUGAUAAGUGCUCCACUUACAAGCCUCCUCGAUCACACCAUUGUCGAGUCUGCAAAAGGUGUGUGUUAAAAAUGGAUCAUCAUUGUGUCUGGAUAAGUAAUUGCGUGGGCUAUGGAAACUAUAAGCCCUUCAUCAUCUUUAUCUUACAUGCAGCUACAGGAUCCAUCUAUUCUACGGUGAUAUUUGUGAGUAGUAUCCUUCAAAAGGAUCAUGAUUUCAGCAGAACUUCUCGCAAGCUUUUUUAUGUCUUAUGCGGUUUUGUGAUGAUUAGCUUAAGCUUGACUAUAGGUACUCUGCUGGGUUGGCACAUAUAUCUCCUAACACACAACAUGACAACCAUAGAGCUUUCUAUCAGUAUCGAGAGGCUGUUCGAGCAAUGUGGCUAGCUAGGAAAAGUGGUCAGAAGUAUCGCCAUCAUUUUGACCUUGGUGUAUAUAAAAAUCUUAGCCAGAUUCUAGGUCCAAAUAUGUUCAAAUGGCUUUGCCCCAUGGCAUUAGGCCAUCUCAAAAAUGGGACGGAGUUUCCCAUUUCAAAUGACUGAACCCAAUUUGCAUCUACUUUAAAGUCUGGGAAUUUUAAAUCGGUGGCUAGAUUGCUAUUUAUGUGCAAUUCAUCCUGGUCGGCCUCGUUGAAGCCGUCUGUCAACCUUGCUGCAUGUUUUUUUGGGUGAGAGAGAGAGAGAACAAAAUCCAACAACAGUUUGUUUGAAGCACCACAAGGAUGAUCCCUCAUAACUGGAACAUUGUAUCAUAAUUCCUAUACAAGUUCUUAUUUUUGAGCUCAAAAUCACCUUUAUCCUUGCAAGGUUUCCCCCCUUUGCACAAGAGUUGUAUGGUGAUUUGUUGAUUGAUAGAUAUGUUGAUUAAUAGAUAUCUUUUCACACUGGUUAUUGGUUCGGCAGUUGAUUGAUAAUUACACAUCUAUUAUUGCUA